AAGUCGUAACAAGGUUUCCGUAGGUGAACCUGCGGAAGGAUCAUUAAAUAAUCAAUAAUUUUGGCUUGUCCAUUAUUAUCUAUUUACUGUGAAUUGUAUUAUUACUUGACGCUUGAGGGAUGCUCCACUGCUAUAAGGAUAGGCGGUGGGGAUGUUAACCGAGUCAUAGUCAAGCUUAGGCUUGGUAUCCUAUUAUUAUUUACCAAAAGAAUUCAGAAUUAAUAUUGUAACAUAGACCUAAAAAAUCUAUAAAACAACUUUUAACAACGGAUCUCUUGGUUCUC
This 284-nucleotide unclassified non-coding RNA is filed under the name Mucor circinelloides. RNAcentral's name for it is "partial internal transcribed spacer region". The stretch from base 1 to 46 matches the Rfam family "Eukaryotic small subunit ribosomal RNA", at positions 1786 to 1831 of the family's 1831-position model. Lineage: Eukaryota; Fungi; Mucoromycota; Mucoromycetes; Mucorales; Mucoraceae. The record is from RNAcentral.